This 527-nucleotide long non-coding RNA is filed under the name Suricata suricatta (meerkat). RNAcentral's name for it is "lncRNA (ENSSSUG00005022023.1)". Lineage: Eukaryota; Metazoa; Chordata; Mammalia; Carnivora; Herpestidae. The record is from RNAcentral.
UUUUGUUUUGUCUCUUUUUACUCGAAUCAAUCAAACCUAAGAGCUGAGUGAUAGAAAAGACCAGAGAAGUUGGUGUUUUCCUGGAAAGGAGAAGAGAAGACUUUUAAGAGCAGCAGAACCUCUCUUCAUCUCAUGAACCAUGCCACCCGUGCCUGCAAGGGUACAAGCAAAGACAUAUGUGUGCUUAGUUAAUCUUGACAACCUGGUGAUGGCUGGAGAACACUCUGGAGGCCCAAAAAGCCAUCUGUCAUGUGAGCUCAACAGCAAGCUAACCCCACCUGAUGGGUUGGAGCUAACGGCAACAGAGGGCUGCCAAGCCUCCAGCCCCCUGGGAAGAAGCAUGCAUUGUCUCUCAAGAGAACCGUGUGAGAAAGAUGGAGGGCCCCCAGAAGCCUAUACGAUCCGUGGGUCAUGGGUGCAGUUAUCCAGAUGAAAAGAUGUUGAGUCUCUAUGUGGGCAACCAGUGACAACCUUCUUCCAAAUCUGGAUUCAAAAUGAAGCUAAAGAAUCAAGAAGACAAAUGGAAC